AGAGAGAGAGAGGAACGAAAGGAAGGAGAAGGCAGCGGUGCCGAAACAGGGCUUUCGAAGCCCUAUCUCCUUUAUGCGUUGGAACAUGGGCUAAGCCCCUGUUCAAUAGAAAAUAGAAAUUUCAGUUCUUUUUAUUUUUUAAAAUUUUUAAGUGAAGUCGGUGGCCACUGCGGACUUCACUUAAAAAAAUUCAAAAAAAAUAUAGGGUAAAUUACAAACCCUCCCCCCAUUACUGACUUCAAUUAAAAAAUUCAAAAAAAAUAUAGAAUAAAUUACAAACCCUCCCCAUGAGAGUAGGGGUUAAUUACACUUAUCCAAUUAUUUGAAAAACCUGCACUUACCCUCCCGACUUUGUUUUAUCCAUCACUUUAACCCAUAACUUAACAGAACGUUAGUCAAACUGUUAAUCUUAAAUGGGACCCAAAUGCCAUGUUAGAAAAAAAUUCAAAAAUGACCAAAAUAACUUUAAGUCGCGACCAUACAAGAACAUAAGAAAACACGUGCAGAUUUUACAAACUAUUAGGUGUAAGUGUAAUAAACGUAAACCUCAAGAGUUUUUUUUGUAAUUUAUUCAAAAAUAUAAAAAUAUAAAAAAUUACUCCACCCUUGUUCCAAUGCAUAAAAGAGAGAGGGCUU
Molecule: long non-coding RNA, 636 nt
Filed under: Phoenix dactylifera (date palm)
Lineage: Eukaryota; Viridiplantae; Streptophyta; Magnoliopsida; Arecales; Arecaceae
Description: long non-coding RNA (PDAC_LNC020194)
Source: RNAcentral